Molecule: non-coding RNA, 384 nt
Organism: Pelobates cultripes (western spadefoot toad)
Lineage: Eukaryota; Metazoa; Chordata; Amphibia; Anura; Pelobatidae
Source: the annotation of a GenBank genome assembly
AUUUUUUUUUUUUUAUUGGGGUAGCCCCCAAAAUAUUGGGACAUUUGAAAAAAGACAACACUGUUACGCAGAGUAGCUGUUGACAUUAUAGUUCUGCAGGCAGUUUGUUGACUCUAGAGAACCUCAGGCCAAUCGCACAUCCCCGUGAUGGCGACUUUGCAUGCGGAUGUCAUCUAUAUCAACUUUCGAUGCCAGUUUCUGCGCCUGCCAUGGUGACCACGGGUAACAGGGAAUCAGGGUUCCAUUCCGUACAGGGACCCUGAGAAAUGGCUACCACAUGCAAGGAAGGCAGCAGGCGCGUAAAUGACCCACUCCCAACGCGGGAAGGUAGUGACAACAAAUAACAAUACAGGACUCUUUAGAGGCUCAAAAUUAAAAAAAAAA